CGUGUAGGCGGUUGGUCAAGUCUGGUGUGAAAGCCCGGGGCUUAGCCCCGGAAGUGCGCUGGAAACUAGCCAACUUGAGCGCGAUAGAGGAGGGUGGGAUUCCUGGUGUAGCGGUGAAAUGCGUAGAUAUCAGGAGGAACACCGGCGGCGAAGGCGGCCCUCUGGGUCGUUGCUGACGCUGAGACGCGAAAGCGUGGGGAGCAAACAGGAUUAGAUACCCUGGUAGUCCACGCUGUAAACUAUGGGUACUAGGUGUUCGGGGUGUUGACCCCCUGAGUGCCGACGCUAACGCAUUAAGUACCCCGCCUGGGGACUACGGCCGCAAGGCUAAA
Molecule: ribosomal RNA, 332 nt
Filed under: uncultured bacterium
Lineage: Bacteria
Description: bacterial SSU rRNA
Rfam family: Bacterial small subunit ribosomal RNA
Source: RNAcentral